Molecule: ribosomal RNA, 441 nt
Filed under: uncultured eukaryote
Lineage: Eukaryota
Description: bacterial SSU rRNA
Rfam family: Eukaryotic small subunit ribosomal RNA
Source: RNAcentral
CUGACGGUAGUCGUAUGCUCGUCUCCGAGACUAAGCCAUGCAAGUCCAAGUACACGUCCUUGAACGACGGAAACUGCGAACGGCUCAUUAAAUCAGUUGCGAUCUACUCGGCGUUCCGCGCCGCCGGAUAACCGUAGUAAUUCUAGGGCUAAUACGUGCGAAGCGCCCGAAGCCGCGAGGCGACGGGCGUUCUCGCCGGAUGUAGGAACCGACCCGGGGACCGCCGGGGCAACCCGGCGCCCCCGAGACGGGGCGAACCACGGUGAAAUGACGGAUCGUCGGCCCCGCGCCGGCGACUCGCCGAAUGAGUUUCUGACCUAUCAACUCGAGACGGCGGGGUAGAGGCCCGCCGCGGUAACGACGGGUAACGGGGAAGUCAGGGUUCGAUUCCGGAGAGGGAGCCCGAGAAACGGCUACCACUUCCAAGGAAGGCAGCAGGCG